RNAcentral lists this ribosomal RNA (253 nucleotides) under uncultured bacterium. Its description in RNAcentral is "partial 16S ribosomal RNA". It matches the Rfam family "Bacterial small subunit ribosomal RNA", at positions 524 to 776 of the family's 1533-position model. The record is from RNAcentral.
UACGGAGGGAGCUAGCGUUAUUCGGAAUUACUGGGCGUAAAGCGCACGUAGGCGGCUUUGUAAGUUAGAGGUGAAAGCCUGGAGCUCAACUCCAGAAUUGCCUUUAAGACUGCAUCGCUUGAAUCCAGGAGAGGUGAGUGGAAUUCCGAGUGUAGAGGUGAAAUUCGUAGAUAUUCGGAAGAACACCAGUGGCGAAAGCAGCUCUCUGGGACGGUACUGACGCUGAGACGCGAAAGCGUGGGGAGCGAACAGG